This 253-nucleotide ribosomal RNA is filed under the name uncultured bacterium. RNAcentral describes it as "partial 16S ribosomal RNA". It matches the Rfam family "Bacterial small subunit ribosomal RNA", at positions 524 to 776 of the family's 1533-position model. The record is from RNAcentral.
UACGAAGGGGGCUAGCGUUGUUCGGAGUCACUGGGCGUAAAGGGCGCGUAGGCGGCUUUAUAAGUCGGGGGUGAAAGCCUGUGGCUCAACCACAGAAUUGCCUUCGAUACUGUAGAGCUUGAGACCGGAAGAGGUAAGUGGAACUGCGAGUGUAGAGGUGAAAUUCGUAGAUAUUCGCAAGAACACCAGUGGCGAAGGCGGCUUACUGGUCCGGUUCUGACGCUGAGGCGCGAAAGCGUGGGGAGCAAACAGG